GACGUAGGGCGCGAGCGUUGUCCGGAUUUAUUGGGCGUAAAGAGCGUGUAGGCGGUUCGGUAAGUCGGCUGUGAAAGUCCAGGGCUCAACCCUGGGAUGCCGGUCGAUACUGCCGGACUAGAGUUCGGAAGAGGCGAGUGGAAUUCCCGGUGUAGCGGUGAAAUGCGCAGAUAUCGGGAGGAACACCUAUGGCGAAGGCAGCUCGCUGGGACGUUACUGACGCUGAGACGCGAAAGCGUGGGGAGCGAACAGG
This 253-nucleotide ribosomal RNA is filed under the name uncultured bacterium. Its description in RNAcentral is "partial 16S ribosomal RNA". It matches the Rfam family "Bacterial small subunit ribosomal RNA", at positions 524 to 776 of the family's 1533-position model. The record is from RNAcentral.